This 327-nucleotide unclassified non-coding RNA is filed under the name soil metagenome. RNAcentral's name for it is "partial contains 5.8S ribosomal RNA, internal transcribed spacer 2, and large subunit ribosomal RNA". The stretch from base 1 to 121 matches the Rfam family "5.8S ribosomal RNA", at positions 35 to 154 of the family's 154-position model. The record is from RNAcentral.
GAUGAAGAACGUAGCGAAAUGCGAUAAGUAAUGCGAAUUGCAGAAUUUCCGUGAGUCAUCGAAUCUUUGAACGCACAUUGCGCCCCUUGGUAUUCCGAGGGGCAUGCCUGUUCGAGCGUCAUUAUAACCCUCAAGCUCAGCUUGGUGUUGGGGCCUGCUGCACUGGCAGCCCUUAAAAUCAGUGGCGGCGCCAUCUGGCUCUAAGCGUAGUAAUUCUUCUCGCUAUGGAGUCCUGGUGGAUGCUUGCCAUCAACCCCCAAUUUUUCUAUGGUUGACCUCGGAUCAGGUAGGGAUACCCGCUGAACUUAAGCAUAUCUAAGCGGAGGA